This 88-nucleotide microRNA precursor is filed under the name Thiocapsa rosea. RNAcentral describes it as "microRNA mir-598". The record is from RNAcentral. Lineage: Bacteria; Pseudomonadati; Pseudomonadota; Gammaproteobacteria; Chromatiales; Chromatiaceae.
CGUUGUCAUUGUCGUUGUCGUUGUCGUUGUCGUUGUCGUAUAUCGACUAUCGAAUACGACUACGACAACGACAACGACAACAUAAAAC